Molecule: microRNA precursor, 52 nt
Filed under: Rhinopithecus bieti (black snub-nosed monkey)
Lineage: Eukaryota; Metazoa; Chordata; Mammalia; Primates; Cercopithecidae
Description: miRNA (ENSRBIG00000011893.1)
Source: RNAcentral
GGGAUAUGAAGAAAAAUAAGAGGCUAGGAUUAGCCUCUUAUUUUUACAUGCC